RNAcentral lists this ribosomal RNA (440 nucleotides) under uncultured bacterium. RNAcentral's name for it is "partial 16S ribosomal RNA". It matches the Rfam family "Bacterial small subunit ribosomal RNA", at positions 338 to 795 of the family's 1533-position model. The record is from RNAcentral.
CCUACGGGAGGCAGCAGUGUGGAAUAUUGCACAAUGGGGGAAACCCUGAUGCAGCGACGCCGCGUGAGUGAAGAAGUAUUUCGGUAUGUACAGCUCUGUCAGCAGGGAAGAAAAUGACGGUACCUGCCCACGAAGCCCCGGCUACCUACGUGCCAGCAGCCGCGGUAAUACGUAGGGGGCAAGCGUGAUCCGGCUUUACUGGGUGUAAAGGGAGCGUAGACGGCAGGGCAAGUCUGGAGUGAAAGGCGGGGGCUCAACCCCCGGACUGCUCUGGAAACUGCCAGGCUGGAGUGCAGGAGAGGUAAGUGGAAUUCCUAGUGUAGCGGUGAAAUGCGUAGAUAUUAGGAGGAACACCAGUGGCGAAGGCGGCUUACUGGACUGUAACUGACGUUGAGGCUCGAAAGCGUGGGGAGCAAACAGGAUUAGAUACCCGUGUAGUC